GUGCUUGCUUCAGCAGCACAUGUACUAUAAUUAAAACAAUACAGAGAAGAUUAGCACAGUCCCAGCACAAAGAUGAUGUACAAAUUUGUGAAGUGUUCCAUAUGUUG
This is a small nuclear RNA of Phyllostomus discolor (pale spear-nosed bat), 107 nucleotides long. The record is from RefSeq and is a predicted model, not a curated record. Lineage: Eukaryota; Metazoa; Chordata; Mammalia; Chiroptera; Phyllostomidae.